Molecule: long non-coding RNA, 957 nt
Filed under: Homo sapiens (human)
Lineage: Eukaryota; Metazoa; Chordata; Mammalia; Primates; Hominidae
Description: HSALNT0023437
Source: RNAcentral
CGGUGAUUGUGGUGAUCUGUCACCGAAGUCCAGCCCCCGUCCCUCAGGGGGCUUUCUCCCCCUCCCCCUUUCCAGCACUUGAUCCUCUGCCAGCUGCUCUCCUGUGGGUCUGCAAGAGCCCAACUGUUGGGAGAACAAUUUGAUUUAUCCUCUGGUCUCCACGGGUUGUGAGCAGCACACGUGUUCCCUGCCAGAGCGAUCGUGUACGUGUCUGAAGGACAAAGAGGGGCAGGCUGGCUGUCUACCCUGGGGUCCCAGGCCAAGCAGUGAAAGAACGGCCUAACGAGGGGCACAGGCACAACCACAGUGGAGAUGGUCUGAGAAGGCCUCGCAGCACAGAUGCUGAGGGGGAUGCAGCGACCUCCUGAAGGGAGGCUGGAGGCAGUUUCCACACAGAAGAAAAGAAAAUGACCGGUAAGGGGGCUUGUGGCAGAGGAAGUGACUGACAGUGAGGGGCAUGCUGGAUCUGGACUGUGCUGACACGGCCACGGACACGGAUACCAGGGCCUACGAGCGCUGACCUUGAGCUGGGUCUGAAACAGAGACGGCACCUUGAAAUGACCACAUGCCAUCGAAGGUAAGGUAAGGGCAGGCAGGGAGCUGGCCCUGGGGCAUGUCCGACAACUCUCCCAGGGGAGUCCUAGAGGACUGCACAGCAGACACAGGUGUGGGUGCCUGAGAUGGCCCCACUUCAGGCCAGAACUCUAACCCAGUGGGGGAGCGUCUGUGCUUGUUGCCUCUGACAUCUUUUCUCUUCAUCUUUGCAUUGCCUGCAUUUCAAUGUAUAGAGGAUGUAUGCCAUGGGUCUGUGUCUAUCCACAGAUGUUUCUAAUGGAUCCACUCAAAUUCUUACAUUCCAGUGAACUCAUUUGUUAGUGGAGGCAGUUGAAUCAUUACACCUAUUAAAACAUGGAUUAACCACAGAAUAAAUGGGUUGGGGUUUGUUCACAGUGGGGG